Fukomys damarensis (Damara mole-rat) is the source of this 99-nucleotide ribosomal RNA. Lineage: Eukaryota; Metazoa; Chordata; Mammalia; Rodentia; Bathyergidae. The record is from Ensembl.
GUCUACAGCCAUACCACCUUGAACACUCCCAGUCUUAUCUGAUCUUGGAAGAUAAGCAGGGUUGGACCUGGUUAGUAGUUAGUACUGGGGUUGGCUACA